Molecule: transfer RNA, 25 nt
Filed under: Lolium giganteum
Lineage: Eukaryota; Viridiplantae; Streptophyta; Magnoliopsida; Poales; Poaceae
Also listed under: 23 other names
Source: RNAcentral
CAAGAAAAGGUCAGGAUAGCUCAGU